GAUGAAGAACGCAGCGAAAUGCGAUAAGUAGUGUGAAUUGCAGAAUUCAGUGAAUCAUCGAAUCUUUGAACGCACAUUGCGCCCCUUGGUAUUCCAUGGGGCAUGCCUGUUCGAGCGUCAUUUGUACCUUCAAGCUUUGCUUGGUGUUGGGUGUUUGUCCCGAGGGACUCGCCUUAAAGUAAUUGGCAGCCAGUGUUUGGUUUUGAAGCGCAGCACAAGUCGCGAUUCAAGGCUACACGCCCGCUUCCACAAGCCUUUUUUCACUUUUGACCUCGGAUCAGGUAGGGAUACCCGCUGAACUUAAGCAUAUCAAUAAGCGGAGA
Molecule: unclassified non-coding RNA, 323 nt
Filed under: soil metagenome
Description: partial contains 5.8S ribosomal RNA, internal transcribed spacer 2, and large subunit ribosomal RNA
Rfam family: 5.8S ribosomal RNA (bases 1-120)
Source: RNAcentral